Molecule: ribosomal RNA, 493 nt
Filed under: uncultured archaeon
Lineage: Archaea
Description: bacterial SSU rRNA
Rfam family: Archaeal small subunit ribosomal RNA
Source: RNAcentral
AACCGCGAUAAGGGGACACCGAGUGCCAGCAUCCUAUGUUGGCUGUCCAUAUGUCUAAAUCACAUGUGUUAGCAAGGGCCGGGCAAGACCGGUGCCAGCCGCCGCGGUAACACCGGCGGCCCGAGUGGUGGCCACUAUUAUUGGGUCUAAAGGGUCCGUAGCCGGUUUGGUCAGUCUUCCGGGAAAUCUGACGGCUCAACCGUUAGGCUUUCGGGGGAUACUACCAGGCUUGGGACCGGGAGAGGUAAGAGGUACUACGGGGGUAGGAGUGAAAUCUUGUAAUCCCUGUGGGACCACCAGUGGCGAAGGCGUCUUACCAGAACGGGUCCGACGGUGAGGGACGAAAGCUGGGGGCACGAACCGGAUUAGAUACCCGGGUAGUCCCAGCUGUAAACUAUGCUCGCUAGGUGUCAGGGACGGUGCGACCGUUUCUGGUGCCGCAGGGAAGCCGUGAAGCGAGCCACCUGGGAAGUACGGUCGCAAGGCUGAAACU